CGUGUCCUGCAAGGAAAAGAGAGGCAGUUUCAACUUCUUGUCCAUCUCUUCUUCCCUUUCAGAAAACCCAGUCCAGGGACUCCUCAGAGACUGAAUGAUCUGCUUCCAACUGAUAAAGAAGGCCCUCUUUGGGCUUUUAUUCUUAAUACUAACUGUUUCCUCAGGUCUUUCCAGAAUGGAAAGUCAAAUAGACCUGGCCCGAUGUAUCUAUUCUUCGAUUUAAGCACUUUGGUCGGUGCUGACUCCUUGGUAUUCAAAGCCUGUGUACUGCCAUGACUUCUAAGGCUUGGUAUAUCCUAUACCAGUCAUGUUCUCCUCACCUAGUACCAGGAAGUUGGUAGUUACUAAUUCUUUUUUGUCUGAAUAUUGUAAGAAAAAGCA
Molecule: long non-coding RNA, 381 nt
Filed under: Vombatus ursinus (common wombat)
Lineage: Eukaryota; Metazoa; Chordata; Mammalia; Diprotodontia; Vombatidae
Description: lncRNA (ENSVURG00010024492.1)
Source: RNAcentral